GAUGAAGAACUUAGCGAAAUGCGAUACGUAAUGUGAAUUGCAGAAUUCAGUGAAUCAUCGAAUCUUUGAACGCAUAUUGCGCUCUCUGGUAUUCCGGAGAGCAUGCUUGUUUGAGUAUCAGUAAACACCUCAACUCUUUUUUCUUUUUUGAAAUUGGAGCUGGACUUGAGUGAUCCCAACGCUUUCUUCCAAGAAAGUGGCGGGUUGCUUGAAAUGCAGGUGCAGCUGAACUUUUCUCUGAGCUAUAAGCAUAUCUAUUUAGUCUGCCUAAAAAACAGAUUAUUACCUUUGCUGCAGCUAACAUAAAGGAGACUAGUUCUUGUGCUGACUGAUGCAGGAUUCACAGAGACAGCUUCGGCUGACUUUGUAAACUCGAUCUCAAAUCAAGUAAGACUACCCGCUGAACUUAAGCAUAUCAAUAAGCGGAGGA
RNAcentral lists this unclassified non-coding RNA (430 nucleotides) under soil metagenome. RNAcentral's name for it is "partial contains 5.8S ribosomal RNA, internal transcribed spacer 2, and large subunit ribosomal RNA". The stretch from base 1 to 120 matches the Rfam family "5.8S ribosomal RNA", at positions 35 to 154 of the family's 154-position model. The record is from RNAcentral.